UACGUAGGUGGCAAGCGUUGUCCGGAUUUAUUGGGUUUAAAGGGUGCGUAGGUGGUCUAUUAAGUCAGUGCUGAAAUAUCCCGGCUUAACCGGGAGGGUGGCAUUGAUACUGAUGGACUUGAGUAAAGUUGAGGUGGGCGGAAUUGACGGUGUAGCGGUGAAAUGCUUAGAUAUCGUCAAGAACACCUAUUGCGAAGGCAGCUCACUAAGCUUUAACUGACACUGAGGCACGAAAGCUAGGGGAGCAAAUGGG
This 253-nucleotide ribosomal RNA is filed under the name uncultured bacterium. RNAcentral describes it as "partial 16S ribosomal RNA". It matches the Rfam family "Bacterial small subunit ribosomal RNA", at positions 524 to 776 of the family's 1533-position model. The record is from RNAcentral.